RNAcentral lists this ribosomal RNA (441 nucleotides) under uncultured bacterium. Its description in RNAcentral is "partial 16S ribosomal RNA". It matches the Rfam family "Bacterial small subunit ribosomal RNA", at positions 338 to 795 of the family's 1533-position model. The record is from RNAcentral.
CCUACGGGUGGCAGCAGUGGGGAAUAUUUGGCAAUGGGCGCAAGCCUGACCCAGCAACGCCGCGUGAAGGAUGAAGGUUUUCGGAUUGUAAACUUCUGUCGCGAGGGACGAAGAAUGACGGUACCUCGUAAGAAAGCCCCGGCUAACUACGCGCCAGCAGCCGCGGUAAUACGAAGGGGGCAAGCGUUGCCCGGAAGGACUGGGCGUAAAGGGAGGGUAGGCGGCUCAUUAAGUUAGAUGUGAAAGCCCGCGGCUUAACCGCGGAACUGCAUGUAAAACUGGGAGGCUGGAGUACAGGAGGGGGGAGUGGAAUUCCUGGUGUAGCGGUGGAAUGCGUAGAUAUUAGGAGGAACACCAGAGGCGAAGGCGACUCACUGGACUGUAACUGACGCUGAGGCUCGAAGGCGAGGGGAGCGAACGGGAUUAGAUACCCUUGUAGUC